GACGAACGCUGGCGGCGUGCCUAAUACAUGCAAGUUGAGCGCUGAAGGUUGGUACUUGUACCAACUGGGUGAGCAGCGAACGGGUGAGUAACGCGUGGGGAAUCUGCCUUUGAGCGGGGGACAACAUUUGGAAACGAAUGCUAAUACCGCAUAAAAACUUUAAACACAAGUUUUAAGUUUGAAAGAUGCAAUUGCAUCACUCAAAGAUGAUCCCGCGUUGUAUUAGCUAGUUGGUGAGGUAAAGGCUCACCAAGGCGAUGAUACAUAGCCGACCUGAGAGGGUGAUCGGCCACAUUGGGACUGAGACACGGCCCAAACUCCUACGGGAGGCAGCAGUAGGGAAGCUUCGGCAAUGGACGAAAGUCUGACCGAGCUACGCAGCGUGAGUGAAGAAGGUUUUCGGAUCGUAAAACUCUGUUGGUAGAGAAGAACGUUGGUGAGAGUGGAAAGCUCAUCAAGUGACGGUAACUACCCAGAAAGGGACGGCUAACUACGUG
RNAcentral lists this ribosomal RNA (497 nucleotides) under uncultured bacterium. Its description in RNAcentral is "partial 16S ribosomal RNA". It matches the Rfam family "Bacterial small subunit ribosomal RNA", at positions 28 to 507 of the family's 1533-position model. The record is from RNAcentral.